GAGGCUCCCGGGCCCGCCGGCGUCUGGAGGGAACCGGGGCGCCCAGCGGUGUGCUGGGUGGGGGUGUGAGGCCCGGCGGGCUGGGCGUGGGUCCCCCGGCCUGGGCCGACGCACUCUCGCUGGGGCAGCCGCCGCUGCCCGGACCUGUCUCUACUCGAAACUCUCCCCUCCAGGCCUGGGUGCCGGCACCGCACAGUUUGAUCCAGUGGAUUGCCCAGUCAGAACUUCCCAACUGAGGCACUGUGAAUAAAAUAUAGUUGUGUUUAAUAAUAA
Molecule: long non-coding RNA, 273 nt
Organism: Suricata suricatta (meerkat)
Lineage: Eukaryota; Metazoa; Chordata; Mammalia; Carnivora; Herpestidae
Exons: 2
Source: RefSeq, a predicted model, not a curated record